Molecule: long non-coding RNA, 631 nt
Filed under: Mus musculus (house mouse)
Lineage: Eukaryota; Metazoa; Chordata; Mammalia; Rodentia; Muridae
Description: predicted gene, 36913 (Gm36913)
Source: RNAcentral
AAUUGCUGGGCUGCCUCUCCAGCUUCCAAGCUGGAGUUUUAGAGGACUAAAUACAAGCGGUCACAACAACAUCGGUACUCUCUGCUUUCUGACUGUGGAUCCAAUAUGACUAGCAGCCUUCUACUCCUGCCUCCAUGGCUUCUCUAUCAUGGUGACCUGUACCUGCAAACUAGGACCUAGAAGAAUCCCUUCCCUAAGUGGCAUCUUGUCAGGCUCCAGUGAACACCCCAAACUUGGAUCUCCACCAAUGCAUGGAACUGAGAAAGAACCCGAACAAAACCUAAGAACCAGACGGAUUGUGGUCAUCCGUCAGCAGUGGUCAUUUUGUAAUUGUGGGAAUAAUCAAUGCAUAUUCCAUGAAAGCAGAGUGUGGGAGGUACCUGUAGGGAGGCAGUACUACAGCAGGUCAUCAAUUAUGGAAAGGGCUGAUGAACGCUAACAGCGCUUCCCACUCCCCCAGCUGAAACUAUAGAGGGUCAGAAGCCCCAAACUGCUGAGCUCUGCACACAGUGGGAGGAGUGGCGUCGGGAGGGGAAGCAGAGAAUGGCUCGCCAAGAGACCCUGGCUUCUAACAACCAGCUCAAGAGAAGUUCCUAGUGAUUAAAUUAAUAAACUGAGCUCAACAAAUUGA